Molecule: long non-coding RNA, 3648 nt
Filed under: Musa acuminata (dwarf banana)
Lineage: Eukaryota; Viridiplantae; Streptophyta; Magnoliopsida; Zingiberales; Musaceae
Description: long non-coding RNA (MACU_LNC008922)
Source: RNAcentral
GCGGACUCCCUGCAAGCUCCUGGACUUCACGAUGAUCUUCUUGGCGAGUUCCGAUGAGCUUCUUUGGCAAGCUCCUAGACUUCUCGGCGAAUUCCGACAAAACUUCUAACGAACAUUCGGACUUCCGACGAACACUCGAACUCCAAAUGAAAUUUCGUUCUUGACUCCGGGACUUCAUUUUGCUUGAUACCUUAAUUACUAUCAUAGUUAAUCCUGCAUAUAUAAAACCUAAUUCGAUCUAGACAAUUAUUACAAACUAAAUCAAAUGUUGUCCGGUAUGUCAUUGGUUCAUCGAUGCUUCGUCCGAAUCUUCGGUGCAUCGUCCUCUCAUGUAGCCUAUUGCCCAAACGGCCAAUUGACCUCUGCAACUCCGAUUUCCUUAUCGUAAUUUUUGCUCUUCUUGGCCCAAUGCCCGAACCUAUGGCUCGAAGCCUUUUGCCGAUACGUCGACCGAUUCUUCGGCUCAUCGUCUAAUCUUUUGACAUGUUUUUCUUUGGCCCAAUAUGAUUCUUCCUACUUUUAAUUAUCUCUCUCUAAUUGAAGCUUUCUGUAUCACUCAAAACACAAAUCAAAUUAUAAACACUAUCAAUUAAUUUUAUCAUCAAAAUCUAAGAUUUAACAAUAAAAAAUUUAAAAUCAUACUUCAUUAUGUUGCUGUACCGUAUGACCCAUCUGAUUCCUUAACUUAAAUUGUACUAGAUUUUAUGUUGGACCCAAUUAAUUCCAUUUAAUUAGAAAUACUACUCAUGUAAAGUGCCAUGAUAACUAAUCUAUGGCUAAAAAUUCUAAAUUAUAGACCCAUGGGAUUUUUUAGAAACUUUUUUUUAUUUUCUAAUCAAAAUAAAUAUUCUAUUAUAUUUAAUAUAUAUAUAUAUGUAUAUAUAUAUAUAUAUGUAUAUAUAUACAUAUAUAUAUAUAUAUGAUUUUCCUAUAAAAUACUUACAUUUUGCAUAUUUCUGAACCAGUGUCUCGCAUUUUGCUUAUUUUCAAAGAGUGCUCUCAAUUUAAAAAAUAACUUCAAAUAACUUUUAAAAAUAUUUCAAUCAUUAUUUUUAUUUUUUUAACCAAUUCUAAACUGAUAUAGUAUUUUUAUUUGACUUGUUUACAAUGUUCUUAAUAGCAUUUAUAGUUCUUUUUUAGUUAUUAAAAAUACUAUAAAUAUUAUUGAAAUACAUUGUAAAUAAUAUCAUAUUGUGUCUCUUUGGUUGUUCUUACUAGUAAACCAUUAAUACAUCAUAGUUUUAGAUUUGUAGUUAGUUUGAUUGAGGCUUUCAAGUAUUUUUAUUGUGAUGAUCAAAAUAUAACAAAAAGUUAAUUUUUUAUCUCAAUUUAAGUAAUAUUAUUCAUAAACUAUUGUAAUGGCCUUAUAGUGUUUUUGUUGUGGCAUCCUAAAUAUUGUAAUAGGCUAAAGACAUUAUAAGAGGUGGCAAAAUUUUGAAGGAUAAUUUGAGUAUUUUUCAAAUUGUGAGGAUUGUUUGAGGAAAAGAAAAAGAGAGGAUAGUGAUCUAGAAAUACUCAAAAUAUAAAUAUAUUUUAGAGAAAUCAUAUAUAUAUAUAUAUAUAUAUAUAUAUAUAUGAACUCGCUGACGUGCUCGCGGCUUUACUUCCAUAUUAGAGGAGGAAUCUGUUGCCUUUCGUUGUCGCCGGCAACUUUAACUGACCAUUUCCUCGGUUCAUAUCGUCUGUCCUUCUUCGUUAACUUAGGAAAUUGCUUAAUUUCUUUAUUCUUUCUGGAUAACGUCCAGGAAAUUGCUGGAAGUUUCAGCCUCAGGAAUAACAUAAUAUAAACUCGUUCCAUUCAGCCUUGUCGUGUUUGGUGUAGGUGUAUACGUCGGGUUAGAAAGCAGAAGAGGAGAGGAUGGCCAGGUUGCUGAUCUUCGUGCUUGGAGAUCGCUCGUAUGGAGCUGAUUCGACGUCACACAUGACGGGGAUUCUGUUUAUGCUGGGCUUGGUGGCAGCGACGAUAUCCAUCAUGGCAGUCGUCAUCUUCAACUGCGGCGACAGCAAUGAGCCGACGCCUAAUCGCAAGAACAACAUCGGGUACUACGGUGGCGGCGGCGGAUGCGGCGGCGGAUGUGGCGGCGGAGGCGGAUGUGGCGGCGGAGGCGGAGGCGGAGGAUGUGGCGGCGGAGGCGGAGGCGGAGGCGGAGGCUGUUGAUGUGGCGGUGGUUGCUGAGGCCAUCGUUGGCAGACCGCUACUUUGAACUCUUAGCAUCUAAAUAAGCACAAUGCCUAUCUCAUUGGUUCUUUUCUUGAUGCAAUAUAGCUCGUGUAAAUUACAAUUACAAGUGCUAUACAUGUCAUGCAGCCUUUUCUAUUUUCGUCGAUGCUCGUCGUAUACUACUCAUAAGUGACAGUGUUUAUUUCUUUCAAGAUUCAAAGACAACAUACACUACUUUGCUUCUUCGUUCUUAACCAGAUUCCCUCAUGUAGUAGAGUUCAAUCGAUGAAAGCCAAAGUAAUUACAGUUAGUGCUGUCUAUCAACGAAAGUAUUGCCUCCGUUUCUUAUAAGGAAAUGUCUCGUCAUUGAACCAAAAAUAACAGACAGAAGUUUCGCAAAACAAAGAAGUUUAUCAAUAUGUCAGUAUAAUCCUAUCGAGGUAUAAUAAGAAGAUAUCUCGAUGCUUGAAUGAGAGGAUUUCUCAGUAACAAGAACCAAGCAAUUAAGGGAGAUUGAUCAUGGUCAUCACAAUUGUUUUCCUUCCCUUGUGCUUAGGCUACAUCGAGUGAAUAUUUGGUCUCGAUGACAUUUAAUUUGAAAACUAUGUUUUUGGACUUUUUCUAUCGUAUUGUUGCAAUUGAACAGUAUAACUUGUAUCUCUAUUAUGCAUUAUGCAUCAGGAAGCUGCUUGGAAGUUACGAGAUUGACUUUAGUGCUAAUGUGAAAGGCUAGUCAUGUCUAUCUCUAUAUAUUCUGCCUAGAUUGGCCUAAUCCCAAAAAGAAGAAGAUGGUCAGGUUAUAGGUGGCUCUUGUGGAGGAUAAUACAAAUAUAUUAUUUUUAAUCAUAUAUAUAUAAUAUUAUUAUCUGCAUCAUAAUCAUUUAUAAAAUAUGAGAGACUUGUCAAUUUGUAGGCAAAAUAAAGGCUGAAAUAUCAAUAGAUUUAUGAAUAUAGGUAAAACAAACCAUACCUAUUGGAAAACAAUUGCUCAAUUAUCAGCAUCUUGUGGAUGAAGGGGGAGAAAGCUAAAACAUCAGCAACGUGUGGAUGGAAUGAAAGGGGAGAAAGCUAAAAUAGUUGCUGAAUUAUCAGCAACUUGUGCACGAAGGGAGAGAAAGCUAAAAUAUCAACGACAAAGCUAUAGGCGAGAGAAAGCUAAAAUAUAAGCGACUAAAUAUGUAGGUGUAUGUAGAGAAGAACUUGAGCUCUUGGUAAAUAAAUCUCUUCUUCAAAUAUUGGAGUAGUGCUAGAAUAAUUGAAUUGUCCUUAUGUGGCUCUACUUUUUAAAGAUUAAGAUGCAAACGGAAUUUUUGGCUUGUUAAUUGGAUCGAUUAUGGAUAUGUUAUUAUGAAUGGUUUGAGAUUGUGUUUGAAUUGAUUUCAAGCUCGAUCAAGCUUGGCCCGAAUAUGAAUAAAUUGAGUACUGCGAAAGCAUUAAUUUCAGCCUUAAAUUUAAGUUCGGCUUAUAUUUAGCUAAAUUCAUCAGGC